This 93-nucleotide microRNA precursor is filed under the name Podarcis lilfordi (Lilford's wall lizard). The record is from RNAcentral. Lineage: Eukaryota; Metazoa; Chordata; Lepidosauria; Squamata; Lacertidae.
ACCUUAGAGACCAACUAAGUUUGUUAUUGGUAUGAGCUUUGUGCAUGCACACAAAAGCUCAUACCAAUAAUAAACUUAUUUGGUCUCUAAGGU